GACGUAGGGCGCAAGCGUUGUCCGGAUUUAUUGGGCGUAAAGAGCUCGUAGGCGGCUUGUUGCGUCGACCGUGAAAACCCGCGGCUCAACUGCGGGCUUGCGGUCGAUACGGGCGAGCUGGAGUUCGGUAGGGGAGACUGGAAUUCCUGGUGUAGCGGUGAAAUGCGCAGAUAUCAGGAGGAACACCGGUGGCGAAGGCAGGUCUCUGGGCAUUAACUGACGCUGAGGAGCGAAAGCAUGGGGAGCGAACAGG
RNAcentral lists this ribosomal RNA (253 nucleotides) under uncultured bacterium. RNAcentral describes it as "partial 16S ribosomal RNA". It matches the Rfam family "Bacterial small subunit ribosomal RNA", at positions 524 to 776 of the family's 1533-position model. The record is from RNAcentral.